AAAGGAAAAGCGCGCAACCGUUACUUGGUGCGCAGAUAUGAAUUAUAACGGUACAGUCCUUGGAGGUUGGCCAGAACCAGUGUGCAGUUUGUUGCAGGUAUCCUCUAGCUGCAGACGUGAAGCAAUAAACGGCGAGGGAGGCAAACCGAAUUAAUAAUAGUUGAAAAACCUGAAGAACUCCGUUCUAUGUGAAGUUAUGGCACCUGCAAGUGCAAAUCUCGGCUUGGAAUAAUCCUUAUUCUGGCAGGUGCAAUGCCUUGUUGGGCAUGGAGAUCUGAAAUACCCCUGCACCGAGCUAUCCCUGCCCAUUUGGCCUGGAGCCGUCAGUGGCCGUACCCAUCAAACCCAGGGCAAGCAUGCAUCGUGAUCAGAAUGGCUCAAGGCGAUGUAUGUCACUAGUGGAUGAAGAGCGUGAUGCUGUGACCCCCACCCUCUGCGCUCUUAAUAAUAUUGUUACGAGCCACCUCCUUGGACUAACGAAGAAGACAACGAUGACUGGGGCAUUACUCCUGUUCAGCCAUCUUGGCCAUUCCCCAUCGAGGCCUUCCAGUUUUCAAGCUGCAACUGUGAAACGUGAGAAGUCAUGUGAGCGCCGCCGCCACCACUGCAACUUCUGUGACUAUAACACUGUUAGAGUGGCUGAUCUGAAAAGACACACCGUGGUCCAUACAGGCGAGCGGCCAUUCGAGUGCCAUUUGUGCCCUCUGACAUUUUCACUGAAGAGUAAUCUCAAGGUACACCUGCGCACUCACACAGGCGAGAGGCCAUUCCGCUGCCCUUCAUGCCCUAAGACGUUCCUACAAAAGCAUAAUCUGAAUGUUCACUUGCGCACUCAUGCGCAGAGACGCAGCGCUGGCGUAGAGGCAGAGCAUCCACCUCGCAUGCAAGAGUACCGUGGUACGAAUCCUCGUGCCGCGCAAUUUUCCACCAGACCUAAGAAAAAAUAAAAUCCGUAUGUUGAUAAGAUUUCAUAAACGGGCCUGGAGUGUGGUCUGAUCCCGGUGACCAGAACCGGUAUCGCACUCCCUCACCAGAGUAGGAUUGGCCACCCUGGUGCAGUACUUGGCCACAACCUCCCAUAUGAACACAACCAUCAAACCCCGGCCCUCAGUCCCCAGCAGCUGUGAAGCAACUGACCACGGCGGCGGUCAGACCUGCGACGUAGCAGAGGGUGCUAAGAAUCCCUGGUUCCGGACCGGCCGCCAUUGGAAUCUGAACCUGGCAACGUUUAAUCCUAGAAUGUUAGCUAGUGAGGCGAGUCUAGCAGUGCUAUUGGAGAAAUUAGAGGGCAGUAAGUGGGAUAUAAUAGGGCUCAGUAAAGUUAGGAGGACAAAUGAAGCAUAUACAGUGCUAAAAAGCGGGCACGUCCUGUGCUACCGGGGCUUAGCGGAGAGACAAGAACUAGGAGUCAGUUUCCUGAUUAAUAAGGAUAUAGCUGGUAACAUACAAGAAUUCUAUAGCAUUAACAAGAGGGUGGCAGGUCUUGCUGUGAAACUUAAUAAGAGGUACAAAUUAAAGGUCGUACAGGUCUCCGCCCCCACAUCCAGUCAUGAUGACCAGGAAGUCGAAAGCUUCUAUGAAGAUGUUCUGUGAAGAUGUGGAAUCGGCGAUGGGUAAAGUCAAAACAAAAUACACUAUACUGAUGGGCAACGACAAUGCCAAGGUAGGCAAGAAGCAGGCUGGAGACAAGGCAGUGGGGGAAUAUGGCAUAGGCACUAGGAAUAUCAGGGGAGAGUUAUUAGUAGAGUUUGCGGAACAGAAUAAUAUGCAGAUAAUGAAUACCUUCUUCCGCAAACGGGAUAAUCGAAAGUGGAUGUGGAGGAGCCCGAAUGGCGAGACUAGAAAUGAAAUAGACCUUAUACUCUGCGCUAACCCUGGCAUCAUACAAGAUGUGGACGUGCUCGGCAAAGUUCACUGCAGUGACCAUAGGAUGGUAAGAACUCUAAUUAGCCUAGACCUGAGGAGGGAACUGAAGAAACUCGUACAUAAGAAGCCGAUCAAUUAGUUAGCGGUAAGAGGGAAACUAGAGGAAUUCCGGAUCAAGCUACAGAACAGGUAUUCGGCUUUAAUUUAGGAAGAGGACCUUAGUGUUGAAGAUAUGAACGACAGUCUUAUGGGCAUCAUUAAGGAGUGUGCAAUAGAAGUCGGUGGUAACUCUGUUAGACAGGAUAUCAGUAAGCUAUCGCAGGAGAUGAAAGAUCUGAUCAAGAAAUGCCAAUGUAUGAAAACCUCUAACCCUACAGCUAGAAUAGAACUGGCAGAACUUUCCAAGUCAAUCAACAAGCGUAAGACAGCUGACAUAAGGAAGUAUAGUAUGGAUAGAAUUGAACAUGCUCUCAGGAAUGGAGGAAGCCUAAAAGCAGUGAAGAAACUAGGAAUAGGCAAGAAUCAGAUGUAUGCGCUAAGAGACAAAGCCGGCAAUAUCAUUACUAAUAUGGAUGAGAUAGUUUAAGUGGCUGAGGAGUUCUACAGAGAUUUGUACCGUACCAGUGGCACCCACGACAAUAAUGGAAGAGAGAAUAGUCUAGAGGAAUUUGAAAUCCCACAAGUAACACCGGAAGAAGUAAAAAAAAACCUUGGGAGCUAUGCACAGAGGGAAGGCAGCUGGGGAGGAUCAGGUAACAGCAGAUUUGCUGAAGAAUGGUGGGCUGAUUGCUCUGGAAAAACUGGCCACCCUCUAUAUGCAAUGCCUCAUGACCUCGAGCGUACUGGAAUCUUGGAAUUAUGCUAACGUAAUCCUAAUCCAUAAGAAAGGGGACGCCAAAUACUUGAAAAAUUAUAGACCGAUCAGCUUACUGUCCGUUGCCUACAAAGUAUUUACUAAGGUAAUCGCAAAUAGAAUCGGGAACACCUUAUGCUUCUGUCAACCUAAGGACCAGGCAGGAUUCCGUAAAGGCUACUCAACAAUAGACCAUAUUCACACUAUCAAUCGGGUGAUAGAGAAAUGUGCGGAAUAUAACCAACCCUUAUAUAUAGAUUUCAUUGAUUACAAGAAAGCGUUUGAUUCGGUCGAAACCUCAGCAAUCAUGGAGGCAUUGCGAAAUCAGGGCGUAGACCCGUAUGUAAAAAUACUGAAAGAUAUCUAUAGCGCCUCCACAGCCUCCGUAGUCCUCCAUAAAGAAAGCAACAAAAUCCCAAUAAAGAAAGGCGUCAGACAGGGAGAUACGAUCUCUCCAAUGCUAUUCACAGCGUGUCUACAGGAGGUAUUCAGAGACCUGGAUUGGGAAGAAUUGGGGAUAAGAGUUAAUAUAGAAUACCUUAGUAACUUGAGAUUUGCUGAUGAUAUUGCCUUGCUUAGUAACUCAGGGGACCAACUGCAAUGCAUGCUCACUGACCUGGAGAGGCAAAGCCGAAGGGUGGGUCUAAAAAUUAAUCUGCAGAAAACUAAUGUUUAACAGUCUCGAAAGAGAACAGCAGCUUACGGUAGGUAACGAGGCACUGGAAGUGGUAAGGGAAUACAUCUACUUAGGACAGGCAGUGACCGCAGAUCCGGAUCAUGAGACUGAAAUAAUCAAAAGAAUAAGAAUGGGCUGGGGUGCAUUUGGCUUUUUCUUUAUUUUUGAAGAUAAAAUUUUGCCUGCGCACUCCAAUCGCACAAUCAAUCGAAACCGCCUUCGCAACGCUUGUAUGUUUUGCCGCAUAACGCAGCCGUAUUGUUGUCGAGGCAACUUUAAGAUGCUGGGUGGCAAAGCCCACUUUAGGAAACCAAGCGCCAUUGUGCAACAAUUUUUCUUGCCAAAAAAAUCGGAAGCGCGUUGGAUUUGUACUUUGUUAGGAGCUUUAUUGUCAUUUAUAUAUCAGUGUUCUACUUUGGAAACAUAGAAUGUGAGCAUGCGUUUGACUGGGAGGAGGGAGGGUUAAACUGGGGCAACUACUGCCAAAUGAAUCGGUGGUGUGUGUUGUCAGUUUUUUGCAUCUUGGUUUAAUUCAACCCGCCGGAUAAUUCGAUCAAUUUCGUCGGUCCCAUUAAAGUCGACAUUACAGUAGUCAACUGAAUUUGUAUUGUAUUCGAUUAAAAAAUUUUACUAUUCGAACACCCGUAAUAUUACCAACAUAUCCAUUUUGUUCCUACAGGAUAAUGUAACAAAGCUGUGGUUUCGGCUUCCCAGAGUAAAUGGCUUAUCUCAACAAAAUUUGAACACAUUGUAAAGGCACAAUACUGAAAGAGAUAUAAGAAAGACAUAAUAUCCAAAAUACUUGUCGCUGAGCAUUGCAUGAGGUGCACACAGUAUGAGGAAGUGUGUUGCCAAGUCCUGAAAACUGAACAGCGAGCACUGUUGCUGAUGUCCCCCUUUUUAUCACUUUGAGCAAUUGCGGUGCAACAUGAAACCACCGAGUAGACUGCAAAUAAUCCAGCAGUACACCCAAUGGAUGUUCAGCGCUGAACGUUCGGACAUUCACCGGAUAUUACCACAAAUCCAGAUGACGUACGACGGAUAUCCGAGAGACUGUCCCAUGCAAAAUCAAAGGCAUCCAAUUGGGCGUCCUGGAUACGUCCUCUUCGCGAACAUUCGAAUGUCGAUAGGAGGGUAAAAAAUGGGCGUCUUUUUAAGAAAUAUUCCAAGAAUAUCUGGUGGAUGAAACAAUCUAAACGUGUACAUCCAAGGUACAUUUGUAGGAUUGUGAAUGUAGACAUUGAUUGCAUAAAUGUUCAUAAGAUAUAGAGGACAUCUAAGAUAAAUCUGGAAUUUAUUUUCAGGUUUUGUUAGUGUGCUUCAAAUUACUCAUACUGCCCUUUUUCUGCUUUAGAAGCUGUACUCUACCUGAGGGCCAAUGUGCCACUUAUGUGCACCAUGCUGCACUGAAUUGCUUUACUGUGCAAUUGGGUACACAAAUAAGUGCUGUCAAAGCAACUGGGACCGUGUCUUAGUGGUACAGGUUGCAAAGGUGACAAGAUACAUAUGUUGUCAUAUAUGCUUAAUGUAUAUAUGUAUGAAAUCACGCAUGUCUGUAUAUUUAAUGAAAUCAUUGUGCUUAUGUAGGGGCCUCUGUGGCAAUUAAUGGAUGUUUCAAGGUAUCCCUGGGCGGAGAUCCGCGAGACAUAUGCUGUUGGUAAAUCCAUAAGCAAACAUACACUGGACGUCCACCAUAUUAAAGUGUGCGGACGUUCUGUUACGACCCCACUCCCCAAAUCUACGUCCCCUGUUCGUACCACGGAUAUUGUUUCCCGGACAUGGACGUUCGGAUCUGAAUCGGAUAUUCACCGGACAUUUGUGGUCCAUUGGGCAACAAAAACUUCUCGCACUCAGUUUUCGCUGUCAUUUACGCAGUGACUGGUUCUGUCGGCAAAGGUUCUUGUGAUAUCGUGCAUUGAUGCUGACCAUUGAAGUUUGCUGUUAACACUUUUGCUCCUCUCUUUGUUUACCUAGAUCUAUGUUCACAGGGAAUGUAUUUGCAGUAUCUUCAUAUUCCAUUUUUUAAAUAUGUGAUGUUUGUGCUUUUCUUCAUGGCUGUACCUUUCAUAAUUUUUCUUUGUGCGACUGCUACCUGUGGAGGUGGUGUUUGGCACACAUUAGCAC
Long non-coding RNA from Dermacentor albipictus, 5519 nucleotides. RefSeq lists it as uncharacterized. Lineage: Eukaryota; Metazoa; Arthropoda; Arachnida; Ixodida; Ixodidae. The record is from RefSeq and is a predicted model, not a curated record.